This 261-nucleotide ribosomal RNA is filed under the name uncultured archaeon. Its description in RNAcentral is "partial 16S ribosomal RNA". It matches the Rfam family "Archaeal small subunit ribosomal RNA", at positions 748 to 1008 of the family's 1478-position model. The record is from RNAcentral.
AGGGUGUAAACGCUGCAGACUUGGUGUUGGAGGCCCUUUGGGGGCAUUCAGUGCCGGAGAGAAGUUGUUAAGUCUGCUACUUGGGAGUACGUCCGCAAGGAUGAAACUUAAAGGAAUUGGCGGGGGGAGGCACCGCAACGGGAGGAGCGUGCGGUUUAAUUGGAUUCAACACCGUAAAACUCACCAGGAAGACUGUUACAUGAAGGCCGAGAUGAAGACUCUGCUAGAUUUUCAGAGAGGAGGUGCAUGGCGUCAGUGACU